ACGUGGAUAAUCUACCCUUAGGUCUGGAAUAACCCCGGGAAACUGGGGAUAAUACCGGAUAGAUCAUAGAUGCUGGAAUGCCCUAUGGUCUAAAGCUCCGGCGCCUAAGGAUGAGUCUGCGGUCUAUCAGGUUGUAGUGGGUGUAACGUACCUACUAGCCGACGACGGAUACGGGUUGUGAGAGCAAGAGCCCGGAGAUGGAUUCUGAGACACGAAUCCAGGCCCUACGGGGUGCAGCAGGCGCGAACACUUUACAAUGCGGGAAACCGCGAUAAGGGAACCCCGAGUGCCAGCACCAAGUGUUGGCUGUCCAGAUGAUUAAAUCUCAUUUGUUAGCAAGGGCCGGGCAAGACCGGUGCCAGCCGCCGCGGUAACACCAGCGGCCCGAGUGGUAACCGUUUUUAUUGGGUCUAAAGGGUCCGUAGCCGGUCUGAUAAGUCUUUUGGGAAAUCUGGCAGCUUAACUGUCAGGCUUCUAAGAGAUACUGUCAGGCUUGGGACCGGGAGAGGUAAGGGGUACUCCAAGGGUAGGAGUGAAAUCUUGUAAUCCUUGGGGGACCAUCUGUGGCGAAGGCGCCUUACCAGAACGGGUCCGACGG
Molecule: ribosomal RNA, 598 nt
Filed under: uncultured archaeon
Lineage: Archaea
Description: bacterial SSU rRNA
Rfam family: Archaeal small subunit ribosomal RNA
Source: RNAcentral